UGAGGCUUUAUAUCAAAAUGCAAUAUCCUUGUAUUACAACCUCGGUGCAAGUAUUCUAAACCUUUAGCAAUGCCAAUUGCAAUUUCAUGUAGUGUUUCCAAUCCCAAUCCAUCAUUAGUUCUCGAGGGAUUUUGUUUAUAUAUAUACUUUUCAAGAGAUCCAUUAGGCGUGAAGUCAUAAAUUAGAGCGCAUUUGGGACCAUCAAUACAAAAUCCUAAAAGACUGACAAUGUUAACAUGAGAAGUCC
Molecule: unclassified non-coding RNA, 247 nt
Filed under: Hevea brasiliensis (rubber tree)
Lineage: Eukaryota; Viridiplantae; Streptophyta; Magnoliopsida; Malpighiales; Euphorbiaceae
Source: RNAcentral